UUUAUCAGUUGGAUUGUUAUACUAAAGUUCCUCAAAAUGUUUGGAGGACCAUCAGGCCAUGACUCUACAUCUGCAAGUAGCUGGUCCAACUUUCCUUCUAUGUUAGCAGGUGAAGCUGUGUGGGAUCGUUCCCUGACCUUUGGUGGGGUCGUUUUUGCUCUCUCCUCGGCCUCUUCAAAGGUUUCAAAGGACAGGGCCAUUCUUUGGACUUGUCUUGAACUGUAAGACUGUCGAAGGCUAAGCAGGUGAAGGCUUCUUUUGAAGACCCGCUUCAGGGACAAGCACUAGAAUGUCACUUAGUGAUUUUUGAAAGUUUUCCUGGCAUUUUUCAUUGUAAGUGGCAUAUAUUGCUUCCCUAAUGCUUUUUAAUUUCCUUUUUGUGACCUUAGGUUCUCUCUGACAUUGUCUCUUGACAUUUGUGUUAAGUUCAGUCAGAGGUCCUUUCCUAGCCCCUCUGCAAAACUUACUUAUAGGGAAGGUAGAUUGUAAUUGAGAGUUGAAUAAAAGACAGGCCUGGCA
Pocillopora verrucosa is the source of this 519-nucleotide long non-coding RNA. RefSeq lists it as uncharacterized. NCBI's taxonomy places the organism in Eukaryota, Metazoa, Cnidaria, Anthozoa, Scleractinia, Pocilloporidae. The record is from RefSeq and is a predicted model, not a curated record.